GUUUUUGUUUUGGUGUUUUUUGUUUGGUACCGAGGAUCGAACUCGGGACCUUGCGCUUGCGAGGCAGGCGCCGGAAUCACUGAGCUAAAUCCCCGGCUCUAUGUUACUCGUUUUUUUAACGGCUGGGGGGCCGCAAAUUCACCUCAGAGGGAGAAGGGGAUGAGCGGCUGGAACCACUCUGUUCGGCUCCCGGACCACCUUUGGUACACUACCUAUACCUCUGCACCCUGUUCAACACUCUCGUCUAACCUGGAUACACUUCCUCCGAUUGAAUGAUCACCUGGCAGACGUUUUUUAAGGUUUGUCUUGGGACCAGACAUAAGGUGGCUCAACAUCAGACCCUUGCCGUGAACAGCUCACGAUCCCAACCACUGGCAAAUUACUGCUUUGGUUGCAAUGGAUGGUCCAAAAGGGUAAUUGAGGGACCUUCCUCUUUCGAGCCAGGCGACAGAACCACUGAGCUAAAUCCUCGGCCCCAAGAAGGACUUUUAAUUCA
This 496-nucleotide long non-coding RNA is filed under the name Heterocephalus glaber (naked mole-rat). Its description in RNAcentral is "lncRNA (ENSHGLG00100036438.1)". Lineage: Eukaryota; Metazoa; Chordata; Mammalia; Rodentia; Bathyergidae. The record is from RNAcentral.